GGUGUUCAGAGUCUCAGUUUUUGUCUAGCACCAUUUGAAAUCGGUUAUGAUGUAGGGGGAAA
This 62-nucleotide microRNA precursor is filed under the name Serinus canaria (Common canary). RNAcentral's name for it is "miRNA (ENSSCAG00000001441.1)". The record is from RNAcentral. Lineage: Eukaryota; Metazoa; Chordata; Aves; Passeriformes; Fringillidae.